AAAAAAAUAGGACGAAGAUUCUAUUUUGUUGGUUCCUAAGGCCAUCGUAAUGAUUAAGGGGCGGUCGGGGCAUUAGUAUUUAGUUGUAAGAGGUGAAAUUCUUAGGUUUUCUGAAGACUAACUACUGCGAAACAUUUGUUAAGGACGUUUUCAUU
Molecule: non-coding RNA, 155 nt
Filed under: Metschnikowia bicuspidata var. bicuspidata NRRL YB-4993
Lineage: Eukaryota; Fungi; Ascomycota; Pichiomycetes; Serinales; Metschnikowiaceae
Description: Eukaryotic small subunit ribosomal RNA
Rfam family: Eukaryotic small subunit ribosomal RNA
Source: Rfam by way of RNAcentral